Long non-coding RNA from Neltuma alba, 2455 nucleotides. RefSeq lists it as uncharacterized. The transcript is spliced from 2 exons. Lineage: Eukaryota; Viridiplantae; Streptophyta; Magnoliopsida; Fabales; Fabaceae. The record is from RefSeq and is a predicted model, not a curated record.
AAAAAUUACUUAAAUUAUUAUUUUUAUUCAGAAUACCAGUCAUCAUUUCUACAUACUCGUACAGGACUUUUUAUUUGGAACAACAUGAAUUAAACUAAUUAAAACAAUAGUACGUAUUUUGCAUUAUAAUAUCAUUUAUCUUUGAGGCUCUCGAUGGUUAUUAUUCAUUUUGGGGAACAAGUAGUCUUAAAUUCUAACCAAUCAUCAGUUGCAGGGCCUCCAGCAGUCAACGAGUGCUCUGGCCCCAGCAACAGUGGCCAAAUCGGAGCUCCAUCCGUUUGUGGGUGCUCCAACAUUAGCAACCUUUCUUGUCUGGUAGAUGGCUUCCAAAAAGUUGAUCCAGAUCUUCUUACCCAUUUCACCUUGUAACUAAUUCUCGUUAUUAAUGCUUAUGGCAAAAACCUAAUUCUUGUUAUUAAUGUUUUUAAUUUAUUUUCAAACUUGAAAUCUAUUUGUUCUGAUUUAAUUAGAAAUAACUCAAAGUUUUAAGGGCGCCUAUUUAUAGAAAAUAAUAAGGUUUAACGAGUCAUAUAUUGAUUUAUGUGCAAUUAUACAAUGCAUCCAAAAAGAAAUUUAUAUGCAAUGAUUCAAAAUGUGAAUCUCCAAAGCAAUAGCUCUUUUUUCCUUUGGCGGAAAAGGAAUAGCUUUUAUAUAUAAACAUAAAUAUCUGAAGGGGAUUGGAUGCCCAGGUGGGGCAACUCUUCUUCAUCGAGCAUUUUAAGAGAAUGUUCCUACAAUCCUUUGUGUAAUUGGGAGAUAAUUUCGAGAAUUCCAAGGCAACAUAUUGAUUGAUUAGUUAUUUAGUUUAGUUGUAAAUUCUCUAGUUUUUUUUCUUGGCCAAAAAUUCUCCGGUAUUGUCGACUCAACAAGGCUUUUCGUAUUAGUUUUUCUUGUGAUGUUUUGUGUACCAGUUAAAACAGUUUGAACCUAAUUAAUUGACUGGUAUGCAUGGUAGAAUUAUAUCGAUAGUACCCUUUGUUAUAAGCUUAAACAGGUACAACUUGUGCAUUUUUUCUAAAGUAUAUGCCUUGAUUUGAACUUCAAUUACUACAAAACAACAACAGAUGAAGCCCAGUAUAAGUUAAAUAUAUCUCAACUUAUAAUCCUCUUGACAAGUCAAAUAGAUUAAAUUAAUAACUUCCUAUUUGUUUAUUGAUUUUUUUCCAUAUAGUAAAGGGAAAAUACUGCUUUCAACUGUGAUAAUAUGCUUAGAUUACAGUUUUAUUUUCCUUCAUUAUACUCAUCCUGGCAUGUUUCUCCAUAUGCAUAGAAUUUGAGAGGUAAAUUACGCUUUUCAUACUUUGAAAAUAAAAUGACUUUUUAUGGAUUUUAAUUCACAUCGGACACACUGAUAUAUUGUUUUAUUCUUCUCAAUUUUAAGUAAACCUAAGAGAAAAUACCAUCAAAGUCGAAUAUUAUUACUUUCCUAAUCAUCAUUUUUUUCAUUCAUGAGUCAUCUUCAUACGUGCCAAAUGAUAGGUUUGGAGUUUGGACCAAUUAGUGAAAAACAUGAUUUAGUAAACUUGUGUGGCAAGUUCUAUUGGCUAUGCUUAUGUCCUAAGCCUAGAGAAGUUUCUCCAUAUACCAAGGAUGACUAUUUAAUAAUCAUAUGAGCCUAUGCAACUAAAAUGAUUUAUAUAUAUCACAGUCAUCAUUAGACACCAAUAACCUAAAUGUCCGAACCAUUCCUGCAUUAUGUUGAUCACAUAAAUAAUAUUUAUUUACCUGAUAUUAAUAACUGCUGUUUAGAUUAGAUAUUUUAAUCACCAUAUUAAUUGGUUAAUUUAGGAAUAAAUUUUGGAUAGAAAUUAAUUAUAAUAUUUAGUAGAGAAGCAGUAGUUAAUUUGUUUUAAACAUUAAAAAGACAAUAUCACCGAUAGUGUGAUGAAAUCAACCAUUUCAAAACUUGUGUGCUAUUUGAAUAAUGAGGGGGGAAAAAGUAGCAAGUAAGCGGACAACUCUCGUGUGGCAAUGGUCGAUGGGGGUGCAACAAGGCAUGAUGGUGGCCAAGUUGAAGAAUAGCUUAAUUUCUUUAUGAACAAGUUGAGGUAAGCUUUGAUAAAAAGCUGGUCAAAAAAAAUAGCUUUGAUAAAAACGAAAAAGAAAGAAAAUUUUGUCCCAAACUUACUCAAACUCAUUACUCAUCACAAAUUAAAUUUAACUUUACAAAAAAGUGGCAUGUUUUUUUUUUUGUUUUUUCGGUUUGGGAGUGUUCAGUUGGUUCAAGCUCAAUAAUUAAGUUGAUGUCUGUAACUUCAAAGGUUCAAUUCUCAUUGGUGUUCAUCGGGGAAAAAAGUGUAGUUUUUAAGGGAUCAGAACAAAAAUAUUUCUCUCCCUAUUCUACAUCUUGAUCUAGGAGGGGGGGGGGAAAUAACCCUAAUCAUAUCAGUUUCGGCUAGCUUGCAAAAAGUAAAUAUUAAUAUAAAUAGAUAAAACAAACACUUCUUUUCAGACC